This 513-nucleotide ribosomal RNA is filed under the name uncultured Saccharomyces. RNAcentral's name for it is "eukaryotic LSU rRNA". It matches the Rfam family "Eukaryotic large subunit ribosomal RNA", at positions 62 to 578 of the family's 3401-position model. The record is from RNAcentral. Lineage: Eukaryota; Fungi; Ascomycota; Saccharomycetes; Saccharomycetales; Saccharomycetaceae.
AAACCAACCGGGAUUGCCUUAGUAACGGCGAGUGAAGCGGCAAAAGCUCAAAUUUGAAAUCUGGUACCUUCGGUGCCCGAGUUGUAAUUUGGAGAGGGCAACCUUGGGGCCGUUCCUUGUCUAUGUUCCUUGGAACAGGACGUCAUAGAGGGUGAGAAUCCCGUGUGGCGAGGAGUGCGGUUCUUUGUAAAGUGCCUUCGAAGAGUCGAGUUGUUUGGGAAUGCAGCUCUAAGUGGGUGGUAAAUUCCAUCUAAAGCUAAAUAUUGGCGAGAGACCGAUAGCGAAUAAGUACAGUGAUGGAAAGAUGAAAAGAACUUUGAAAAGAGAGUGAAAAAGUACGUGAAAUUGUUGAAAGGGAAGGGCAUUUGAUCAGACAUGGUGUUUUGUGCCCUCUGCUCCUUGUGGGUAGGGGAAUCUCGCAUUUCACUGGGCCAGCAUCAGUUUUGGUGGCAGGAUAAAUCCAUAGGAAUGUAGCUUGCCUCGGUAAGUAUUAUAGCCUGUGGGAAUACUGCC